UCAAGCCCAAAUCAAACAAGAAAGAAACAAACACAAAACCCUCCAAACGAUGAAACGAAAGAUGAUCACAAACGAAAAAAGAAAAAGAAGGGAGCUUUGUAUCAUCCUUGUGUAUGGAUGAUUAUCUCAACCCUUUCUGUAUUGGUACUA
This 150-nucleotide non-coding RNA is filed under the name Filamoeba nolandi. Lineage: Eukaryota; Evosea; Variosea. The record is from RNAcentral.